Molecule: long non-coding RNA, 315 nt
Filed under: Carica papaya (papaya)
Lineage: Eukaryota; Viridiplantae; Streptophyta; Magnoliopsida; Brassicales; Caricaceae
Description: long non-coding RNA (CPAP_LNC005319)
Source: RNAcentral
UUUAUGCCUAGGCACUGCGCACACAAUAACAGGCUUAUACGCCAACUGGCUAACCUAUAGUGUGCCGGCCAGGCACUGGCACCUCGGGAAGUGCACCGCCGCUACUUUGGGCGGUGUACACCGCUACCGGUGGAGGAAGUUUUUCUCCCUCGUUUUACAUGCCAAGAAUCUUUUUCUCCUCUUUCUUCACCAGAUUUUGCCACUUGGCACAAAUCCAAAAUUUUAUAAAUACCCUUUCCCUUCCCUUCCUCUUCACACUUCCAUUUCUUUUAUUUUUCAAGAUUUAGAGAGAGAGAUACAAUAAAAUAGUGAGAG